This is a long non-coding RNA of Larimichthys crocea (large yellow croaker), 566 nucleotides long. RefSeq lists it as uncharacterized. The transcript is spliced from 3 exons. NCBI's taxonomy places the organism in Eukaryota, Metazoa, Chordata, Actinopteri, Sciaenidae. The record is from RefSeq and is a predicted model, not a curated record.
GUCUGUCCGCAUCUGUUCCUCUUUCACUACAAACAACUCAUGACUUCCGGGUUUGCUUCAGAGCGUGAUCAUGUGACCGCGCGUGAUCUGAUCUCGCGAGAACAGCGAGCAGCGCGUGAAGGCCACACAGACCUACAUACAGACUGCAUGAUGAUGGUGAGGUUAGAAGGAGACGAUGAAGCUGCUGAUGAUGGUGAUGUCAAGGGUGAAAGUGGACAAUGAUGACCUGUGAGGUGAGCGUGAGGCUCCUGAUGACAGCUCCUGUGCUGCAGAGGUUAAUGACGAGUGGAAGCUGUGACCCCAGACCGUGACCGCUGAACCUGACCUGUGAGAGCCAGCAGGAAAACAUCGGGAGAAGCAAGAGUGACGGCUGAACAGAGCAGGAUCAACAGCAGAAUGUUAGUGACUCCAGGUGAACCGCUGCUGAUGACUGUCUGCCAUUCUGUGGUUAAUCUAUCUGACGGCCGCGACCACUGUUCACAGUGCUGCUGCUUUUUAAAGAAGCUGCAAGUGUGUGUGCAUGAAUGCAUAAGUCACUGAUGUAAAAAAAAAAAAAAAAAGUUAAA